This 1149-nucleotide ribosomal RNA is filed under the name Escherichia coli. Its description in RNAcentral is "partial 23S ribosomal RNA". It matches the Rfam family "Bacterial large subunit ribosomal RNA", at positions 1 to 1191 of the family's 2925-position model. Lineage: Bacteria; Pseudomonadati; Pseudomonadota; Gammaproteobacteria; Enterobacterales; Enterobacteriaceae. RNAcentral also lists the same sequence under 1 other name. The record is from RNAcentral.
GGUUAAGCGACUAAGCGUACACGGUGGAUGCCCUGGCAGUCAGAGGCGAUGAAGGACGUGCUAAUCUGCGAUAAGCGUCGGUAAGGUGAUAUGAACCGUUAUAACCGGCGAUUUCCGAAUGGGGAAACCCAGUGUGUUUCGACACACUAUCAUUAACUGAAUCCAUAGGUUAAUGAGGCGAACCGGGGGAACUGAAACAUCUAAGUACCCCGAGGAAAAGAAAUCAACCGAGAUUCCCCCAGUAGCGGCGAGCGAACGGGGAGCAGCCCAGAGCCUGAAUCAGUGUGUGUGUUAGUGGAAGCGUCUGGAAAGGCGCGCGAUACAGGGUGACAGCCCCGUACACAAAAAUGCACAUGCUGUGAGCUCGAUGAGUAGGGCGGGACACGUGGUAUCCUGUCUGAAUAUGGGGGGACCAUCCUCCAAGGCUAAAUACUCCUGACUGACCGAUAGUGAACCAGUACCGUGAGGGAAAGGCGAAAAGAACCCCGGCGAGGGGAGUGAAAAAGAACCUGAAACCGUGUACGUACAAGCAGUGGGAGCACGCUUAGGCGUGUGACUGCGUACCUUUUGUAUAAUGGGUCAGCGACUUAUAUUCUGUAGCAAGGUUAACCGAAUAGGGGAGCCGAAGGGAAACCGAGUCUUAACUGGGCGUUAAGUUGCAGGGUAUAGACCCGAAACCCGGUGAUCUAGCCAUGGGCAGGUUGAAGGUUGGGUAACACUAACUGGAGGACCGAACCGACUAAUGUUGAAAAAUUAGCGGAUGACUUGUGGCUGGGGGUGAAAGGCCAAUCAAACCGGGAGAUAGCUGGUUCUCCCCGAAAGCUAUUUAGGUAGCGCCUCGUGAAUUCAUCUCCGGGGGUAGAGCACUGUUUCGGCAAGGGGGUCAUCCCGACUUACCAACCCGAUGCAAACUGCGAAUACCGGAGAAUGUUAUCACGGGAGACACACGGCGGGUGCUAACGUCCGUCGUGAAGAGGGAAACAACCCAGACCGCCAGCUAAGGUCCCAAAGUCAUGGUUAAGUGGGAAACGAUGUGGGAAGGCCCAGACAGCCAGGAUGUUGGCUUAGAAGCAGCCAUCAUUUAAAGAAAGCGUAAUAGCUCACUGGUCGAGUCGGCCUGCGCGGAAGAUGUAACGGGGCUAAACCAUG